Molecule: ribosomal RNA, 468 nt
Filed under: uncultured bacterium
Lineage: Bacteria
Description: partial 16S ribosomal RNA
Rfam family: Bacterial small subunit ribosomal RNA
Source: RNAcentral
GACGAACGCUGGCGGCGUGCUUAACACAUGCAAGUCGAACGGAAAGGCCCUGCUUUUGUGGGGUGCUCGAGUGGCGAACGGGUGAGUAACACGUGAGUAACCUGCCCUUGACUUUGGGAUAACUUCAGGAAACUGGGGCUAAUACCGGAUAGGAGCUCCUGCUGCAUGGUGGGGGUUGGAAAGUUUCGGCGGUUGGGGAUGGACUCGCGGCUUAUCAGCUUGUUGGUGGGGUAGUGGCUUACCAAGGCUUUGACGGGUAGCCGGCCUGAGAGGGUGACCGGGCACAUGGGGACUGAGAGAGGGCGCAGUCGCCUAUGGUAGGCAGAAGUGGGGAAUAUGGUACAAUGGGCCGAAGCGUGAGGCAGCAACGCCGCGUGCGGGAAGACGGUCUGCGGGUUGUAAACCGCUUUCGCCUGAGACGAAGCGGGAGUGACGGUAAUGGGUAAAGAAGCACCGGCUAACUACGUG